Molecule: ribosomal RNA, 465 nt
Filed under: uncultured bacterium
Lineage: Bacteria
Description: partial 16S ribosomal RNA
Rfam family: Bacterial small subunit ribosomal RNA
Source: RNAcentral
GACGAACGCUGGCGGCGUGCUUAACACAUGCAAGUCGAACGGAAAGGCCCUGCUUGCAGGGUACUCGAGUGGCGAACGGGUGAGUAACACGUGGGUGAUCUGCCCUGCACUUCGGGAUAAGCCUGGGAAACUGGGUCUAAUACCGGAUAGGAGCCAUUUUUAGUGUGAUGGUUGGAAAGUUUUUUCGGUGUAGGAUGAGCUCGCGGCCUAUCAGCUUGUUGGUGGGGUAAUGGCCUACCAAGGCGGUGACGGGUAGCCGGCCUGAGAGGGUGGACGGCCACAUUGGGACUGAGAUACGGCCCAGACUCCUACGGGAGGCAGCAGUGGGGAAUAUUGCACAAGGGGCGCAAGCCUGAUGCAGCGACGCCGCGUGGGGGAUGACGGCCUUCGGGUUGUAAACUCCUUUCGCUAGGGACGAAGCUUUUUGUGACGGUACCUAGAUAAGAAGCACCGGCUAACUACGUG